Delphinapterus leucas (beluga whale) is the source of this 15522-nucleotide non-coding RNA. The record is from RefSeq and is a predicted model, not a curated record. NCBI's taxonomy places the organism in Eukaryota, Metazoa, Chordata, Mammalia, Artiodactyla, Monodontidae.
AUAAAUAUACAUCCUGUCAAGAUGUCUCUGUGAAUUCUUGGGUCUUUUACUAGCCUUCAAAAUGUUUCAUUUGUUCAUACAUUUGUUUGUUUAACAAAUGCUAUUAUGGAACCUUUAAAAGAAAUAGGAGUAUUCAGGGUAAGGAAAUAAAUCUCAGUCCUUAAUAAAGUUGUAUGCUAUAUUUAGGUAGAAUAAUUAUGUUCUACUGAUUCCCUUUAAAGAAAUAUUCUAGUCUUCAAGAGGUUUUUAUUUGACUGUGAGAUAGACUACAUAAUCAUUUUCACAAUCCACGAUAUAAGCCCAUCUUAGAACAUUCUUUCAUCAGAAUAAUAUCUCUUUAUUGAUACCUUAAAAUUUGGCUUUUCAAAGAAAGUUCUACAAAGAUAGAUAAAUACAAAAAAUUAACAAAAAACCCCAGAAAACCUUGCUUCUCACCAGCAGUUAUUAAAGCUAUUUCUUUGAAUUAAAAACAAAAAAAUCUCAACUUCAACUCUCAAAUAAUCAUUCCUGGAGAAAUUAUAAGUGAAACUAUUACCUCUUUAGUUUUUAUGGAACCUCUCACUUCUCUUCAUUACCCUUGACAUCCUCACCUUUACUUCACUCCUCAGAAUCUACUUUAUGACAUAAUGUUAAGUAUGAUUUUUACCCUGCCCAGAAAUGUUUAACUUACCACCCAGGAGCCUUCUCAGGAAGCAUAACCUACUUCAGCAUCACCCAGGCAUAUAUGCAGCACUUAGCUUUCACCCCCAAACCUUAGGCUUCUUCUUAUUGGUUAAAAUCUUCCUUGAAAAAGAUGACAAGAAAUGAUUGGCCUGGAUUAAUGCUGUAGGCCCCACCCAGCCAUUAGCGCAGAAGAACCUUAAGUACUACAUCAGCUAGUAACCAGGAGUAAACCAUUAAUCCUUCUAGACAGGAAGACAAAGUUUCUUUAAUGCAUGAGGGGAGUUGGAUUGCUCAACAGCCAUCAUCCAAGAAAGUAUGAGCAGCGCUUCAGUCUGAGGCUAAAUAAAUUGAAUCUUGCCAUCUCAUUGCACACGAUUCCUAGUGACCUCCUAUUGUUCAGGGUAUGCAGCAAAAUAUAGGCCUCCAGAGAAGAUUUCUAUACUUUGUAACUAGACAGUGGUAUUUGAGAUUAUUUUAUCUUGCUUAUAGCAGAUAUUAUCUUGAUUCUUCUCUGCACAGGAAGUGAGCAGAUUGAGAGUAUGAUCAAUGAUGUAUUGGAAAUAUUUCUACUUAAUGGGAAACCUCUUUCAAGCAGAAAUCAAACUAUGGAAACUAUUCAAGUGACUUCCAGUUGCCCGAGCAGCAGAGUUGUGGUGUAACACAGAGAUGAGGAACAAGUCUCGGGGGUCGGCAUGCUUGAUUCACAUCCUGGCCCUGCCACUUCCUAUCUGUGUGAACACUGGGAGAAUGAUGAAUCGGUCAAAGAAGAGAAAUCUGAAUUAAAAGAAAAAUCUACAGGAAAUAAGAAAGCCAACAGAUUUCAUCCUUAUUCAAAAGAUAAGAACUCAGGCACUGGAGAAAAGAAGGGUCCAAAUCGUAACAGAGUUUUUAUUAGCAACAUCCCAUAUGACAUGAAAUGGCAAGCCAUUAAAGAUCUAAUGAGAGAAAAAGUUGGUGAGGUUACAUACGUGGAGCUCUUUAAGGAUGCGGAAGGAAAAUCAAGGGGUUGUGGUGUGGUUGAAUUCAAAGAUGAAGAAUUUGUCAAGAAAGCACUAGAAACUAUGAACAAAUAUGAUCUUAGCGGAAGACCCUUGAAUAUCAAAGAGGAUCCUGAUGGAGAAAAUGCUCGUAGGGCACUGCAACGAACAGGAGGAUCAUUUCCAGGAGGACAUGUACCCGACAUGGGAUCGGGAUUGAUGAAUUUACCACCUUCCAUUCUCAAUAAUCCAAACAUUCCUCCUGAGGUUAUCAGUAAUUUGCAGGCUGGUAGACUUGGUUCCACAAUUUUUGUUGCUAAUCUUGACUUCAAAGUUGGUUGGAAGAAGCUAAAGGAAGUGUUCAGCAUAGCUGGAACUGUAAAGCGGGCAGAUAUUAAAGAAGACAAAGAUGGCAAGAGCAGAGGAAUGGGCACAGUCACUUUUGAACAAGCAAUUGAAGCAGUUCAAGCAAUUUCUAUGUUCAAUGGGCAGUUUUUGUUUGAUAGACCUAUGCAUGUGAAAAUGGAUGACAAGUCUGUCCCUCAUGAAGACUACCGUUCACAUGAUAGUAAAACACCACAAUUACCACGUGGUCUUGGAGGCAUUGGAAUGGGACUUGGUCCAGGUGGACAACCUAUUAGUGCCAGCCAGUUGAACAUAGGUGGUGUAAUGGGAAAUUUAGGUCCAAGUGGUAUGGGAAUGGAUGGUCCAGGUUUUGGAGGAAUGAAUAGAAUUGGAGGAGGAAUUGGGUUUGGUGGUCUGGAAGCAAUGAGUAGCAUGGGAGGAUUUGGAGGAGUUGGUCGAAUGGGAGAGCUAUACCGUGGUGCGAUGACUAGUAGCAUGGAGAGAGAUUUUGGACGUGGUGAUAUUGGAAUAAAUCGAGGCUUUGGAGAUUCCUUUGGUAGACUUGGCAGUGCAAUGAUUGGAGGGUUUGCAGGAAGAAUAGGAGCUUCUAACAUGGGUCCAGUAGGAUCUGGAAUAAGUGGUGGAAUGGGUGGCAUGAACAGUGUGACUGGAGGAAUGGGGAUGGGACUGGAUCGGAUGAGUUCCAGCUUUGAUAGAAUGGGACCAGGUAUAGGAGCUAUACUGGAAAGGAGCAUCGAUAUGGAUCGAGGAUUUUUAUCAGGUCCUAUGGGAAGCGGAAUGAGAGACAGAAUAGGCUCCAAAGGCAACCAGAUAUUUGUCAGAAAUCUGCCUUUUGACUUGACUUGGCAGAAACUAAAAGAGAAAUUCAGUCAGUGUGGUCAUGUAAUGUUUGCAGAAAUAAAAAUGGAGAAUGGAAAGUCAAAAGGCUGUGGAACGGUCAGAUUUGACUCCCCAGAAUCAGCUGAAAAAGCCUGCAGAAUAAUGAAUGGCAUAAAAAUCAGUGGCAGAGAAAUUGAUGUUCGCUUGGAUCGUAAUGCAUAAUUUGAAACCACGGUUGGAACAUUCUUACAUCUGUUUUGCUGAAUCUCCUAGUAAAAGUCAUUUUUUUAAGUAAUACUGUAUGCUUACAAAAGUUGUAAAGAUGAACUUUUAAAACUCCCACCAGCUUUUAACAGUAUAGUGUUAAUAUACUGUGAUUUUUGUUAAUCUCAAGUUUGGAUUUUUAAAGACAGCAAGUCUGGUCAUUCAGUUUAAAUGAAUGGUUAUACUAUUUUUAAUGAAAUAAGCCAUUUUCUUGUUAUUUUCAGCUCUGCAUAGUGGGAUUUGUUUGUUCAAGUGUCCCCAGCUUUUAUCAACUUAUUGUAAGGAACAUUUGCUUCAGAGCCCUAAGUGAUCGCAUAAAAACCCUGACUACCAUACUGGAAAGACCUUGUGAAGAGCCCACAUAGAAAUAGAGAUCCCUGAGGAACCCCGGCUGGUUCAGCCCCCCAGUUUUGAAUCUUCCCAUCCCAGGCACCAGACAUGUGAAGGAGGGAGUUUUCAGAUAAUUCUAGUCCUCUCUUCUUACUAUAACUGCAUGAGAGACCUCAAGCAAGAACCACUCAGCUGAGGCCAGUAAACCCCCAAAGCUGUGAGAGGGCUCGAUAAUAUGUGGAGGAAAUUGAAAAAGAACAAAGUGCUUUAUCUUGAAGUAACUGCCUAAACUCAGGGCAGCUGAAGUGUGAAUGGCCAAUCUUCAUUUAAUGCUGGCUGAAGAAUGCUUCAUUAGAAAAAUUCAGUCUUGAGAGAGAAAGGGUGAUCCAUCCGGCUGUUGCAAGAGCCCAAGUUGUCCGCAAAGCCCAAGGCCCACAAAGAAUCAUCCACUGUUGCAGAGAGAAUUUCUAGGAUGAAAGAUUUCUUUUUCCAUGAUGAAGUCUCCAACAAUAAAAACUGAAGACUCUCCUGCUUCAUGACGUCUGUGAAUGAUUUCAGAGCUAUCUUUGAGAACUUAUUCGAAGGAUCAAAAGUGUUUGAUAGCCUACCAAAUGCUAAAACUCAGAGCAAAUACAGCAGGAAGCAUAAGCAAAAGUGAGUCAAGUAAGAAUUUCCCUCUCUUUGUCUGUUUAUCCACAUGUGGUAGCAGCAGCAGGGGUAGCUGACCCCAGCGUCCACCUACCUGUAGCCCUUGGGAGACGUUGGGGCAGGGAGGCACCUGGGGGAGGCAAGCGUGCAGUAGCCCAGAGGAUGCCGAGAAGCAGGGCCCUUCUUGCCCACCGUGGGCCCCCUUUGGUCUGCAUUGCUGCAGCGGUCUUUCUGCAACGUGCAGCCUUGGGAAGGGAGAAGAGGAGGAUUAAGCUGGAUCAUGUGAGGAGUCUCCUUCCUGCCCAGUGCCCUGCCCAGGGCACAUCAAAGCAAGUCCAGUGGACAAGGGAGGGUGAUUGGAGCCAGCCAAGCUACUCUGAUCAGGAGCCCUAAGCCCCAGAGAGGCUGGAGGAGGUAGGGAGGAAGCAGACAGUCCCGUGGCCCACAGUCCCCGAGGGCAGAUCCAGGCAGCUUGCUCUUUACAGAGUGAUUUUAUUUAUUGUCUUCAUACUGGCUCUGCUUUUGACUCUCUCUAGAUUUUUAAGGACCUGAGUUUAUAACUGCUUCCACCUCUCUCUGCAGCCCUUGCUUCUAGAAUUUGCUGGAGCUCGUGUAUGUGCAUUCUUUGGCUAGGCUGUCACCCUUUUAUAUUUCUGUUUUGGCCUCUCGUCCUCUCUCCAAUUAGGAGGCUCUUGCAAUAAUCUAGUGGAGAAAUGGUGGCUUGAACCAGAGCAGUGGCAAUGGGGAUGGAGAGAAGUGGGCAGCUUCAAGAACUAGUAAGAGUCGUAGUGGAUGGAGGCUAUUUGAUCAUUGGUUAGCUGUGCUCUCUGCCAGAGGUUCUAAAAUGCAAAUUGGACAAGCCAGGGAGUGUUCAAAUAUAAACUACUAUCCUCCCUACCCUAGCAUUUACUGGGCUUGCCAAGAUGUUAAGAACUUCUGGCAGUACAGAAACAUGUGGCGAAUAGCACAGGCUCUGUAGCCAGACCACGUGGCUUGAGUCCUAGCAUUGCUGUUUAGUACCUAUAUGACCUUGGGCACGUUAUUUAACCUCUCUGCUCCUCUGUUUCACUCUCUGUAAAAUGGGAAGGUUUUAGUGCCCUCUAUUUGGGUUGUGUGAAGAUUACAUAAAUGAAUGCAUGCAAUCUGCUUAAAACAGCCUCUGCCCCAUGGUCAAUGUUACCUAUCUAUUGUCUAUCAUCUAUAUUAUUAUUAUUAAUGUAUUACUUUUGAUUAAGAUAGAAGCUUCUUGGCCAUAGAGGAAUUUUUUAGUUUUGCAACUCUCAUGGUUCCUUUGCAGAAAAAACAUAAAAAUUGAUGUGCUUGCUAAGUUUUAAAUUUAGAAACUGCGUUUUUCUGGUGGAAAGGAGUCAGUUUGUGAUCUUGAGUUGGUAAAAAUUCUCAAACACUCUUUUGCUUUGCUGGGAAUUGCUACCCAUUAUAAGCCUCUCUGAAACCGUCAUUUCCAGGAACUGACUAUCCAGAUACGUGGUGUGGUUGUGAGGCUGGGAUGAUGAGUCACCAAAGUGUAGCCCAGUAACAGAGCAGAUUCCCAGCAAGCAGAGUUCUGGCUGCUGACACCUGCAGGAAGUGGUGCCCUGGACCACUGGCCUUUGGCCUCAAUGCCAGCAGUGCUAAGCCCCAGGGAAGAGUCCACUUACCUUUGUGUAAGUGGAAAUGUCUCGUGAACCUUUCCUCUCCAAAAUGCAGUAGUUCAAUCAAUUAAUAGAACUAAACAUUAUAAACAAACAAAAUGACAGGAAAACUCAAACCCACAGUGAAAGUGAAUACUUAUGCAAUGUAUGUUGUUAAUCCAGGAAACAGAGCAAGUAUCUGAAUAUAUAAGCCAAUUACAAUGAAACAAUUCCAGUGGAAUCUUGCUCAUAGUAGGUACUUAAUAAACAUUUGUUGAUUAGACUGUAAUGAUUCUUGAAAACACAUUCUCAGAACACACAGUAUACUUGUUCUGAACAAACUAUCCAAUAAAAUAUAGGUUUACCAAGAAAAGAGAAUUUAGGAGGCUAAUUAGAUUUGCUUUAUACAUUUAUUCUUCAUUUUGCAAAAGAAUCUGAAAAAGCUUUAUUGUAAAAUAAAACAUUAAAAAAGCCACAUAAAAUAAAUGUAUAGUUAUUAUAUUACUAUUGUUGUUAUUUAUUUUUAUAAGAUGGACUUCCUUAUAAACUCCCCAAGUCAAGAAAUAAAAUCUUGCCAGCCAUCCCAGAAAUCCUUUCACUUGCUCCAAUCCCAACUUAUCCUUUUCUCUGGGAGUAACCAGUCUCCUGGCUUCUAUAGCAGUCACCUCCUUGUGUGUAUAUUUCUAAUAGUUUAUCGCUCAUCCCUAAUUGGGGGCAUGCUAAGGAUACUAUAGCUUAGCCGUAAAAGAAGUCGUUUAAGUCUCUUUUAGUUUAUAGGUUCCCCCUACUUCUUUUUCUUUUCCCUAUAAUUUGUCUGUUGGAAAACCCCAGGGCAUUUGAUCUGUAGAGUUUCCCACAGUCCUGAUUUAUUGAUUACGUCCUGUGGUAUAGCUCAAUGUGUUCCUCCGUUUUCUAUAUUUUUGUUGAUUGGCAGCUGGAUGCAGAAGUUGUUCAGACUCAGUACUGCCCCUUUGGCAAGACUAGCUCUGCAUGCUCAGAAUCUGCUCUGCUACUGGGCUACCCUUUGGCACCACUAAGGUGGUGGUGAGGUCUUUCCCUCAUAAAGCACACGGUAUCUGCUCCUCUCUUUUGUGGUGAUUUUAGCAGCAGUUCAUGCUCAUUACCUAAAUCUGUUACUAAUUCUUUAGAGCUUGCAAAAGAAUGGCAUUCUUAUUCUAUAAUUUCUUCUUCAUUUAUUACUUGGAAUAUUUUACAAGAAGGUGAUUUCUAUCACCCACUUUGCGGGUACCCAGGGGUACUCAGUUUAGGUAGCAAUGACAAUGUAUAUGCUUGACUCUUCUUUAUUUAUCACUUCUCAAGAUGUUUGGCGCUCUCUUUUCCUUCCCAAAUAACCAAUUCUAUUUAAACAAUUAUUAUGAAUUAGGGUAUUUAAAUAUAUUUGAUGGGCUCCAAUUGUAAUUAUUAUCCUUUCUGAAGUUCAAAUUGUCUCAUCUUUAGCCAGUGGGAGCCUCUUCAGAUUGACUUCUGAGAGCCUUUGACAUGAUCUUAAUAGUUUUGGUAGCUUUCUUACUACCUGAUAUAAAAAGAUGUUCUAGGCUCAUCUUAUACCUCAAACCAGCCAUUUCUCCAAAAUGCCUCUUUAUUUUUUUAAAUGCAAAGUACAUCAAGACCAUGACCUAAGAAUCUGGGUUGCUAGGCAUGGUCAUUGUCUCUCUCUGUCUCUGUCUCACAGACACACACACACACACACACACAUGCACACACACGCACACACACACACCUCUUGAUAGAAUACGUCAUGAGUUCAUACUGGUACUUCUCAUUCAAGGGUCCCAGUUCUCAAGGGUCCCAGUACUUAGGGGACAAUAGAAUAUCCAGUGCUUCAUAAUUACUCAUUUACUGGUGCUAUUUACAUAUAUGAGUCUCAAAAUAAUGGUAUUGAUACCACCACUACUCAUAUAAUUACUGAGAAGAGUUUUAAGAUUUUGCAUAUGCUCUUUCCAUUCGCUUUCUAUUCUAAGAGCUAUAGCCUAUCUGCAUUGCCUGAGCAUAUAGUCAUUAAAUAUAUUCUUUCUCCCUUUAACCCUCAUCUAGUCUUGGUACUACAAGUAACUACAUUUUUAAUGCUUGCCAGCACUCUUAGGUUGAUGUUUCUCUAGCUAUUUUGAUGCCCAAAUCUUAUAUUCUAGUAGAUUCUUUGGAAGGGUUCAUGGGAACAAUAUUCCCUGAGUUCUUUCAUGUUGAUAACAUUAUUAAACUCUGAACUGUGGUUUGUUCUCACAAUGACAAUUAAAAUAAAGAAACAAAUAAAGAAGCCCAGAACAAGCCAUCUGUUGAAAUAGCCAAGUAAGCUAACCUGUUAAAAUCAGUGCAGAGAUGGUUAUUGAGUUGAGGUCAAGGUAUAGACUGGUAGUCGGUUUUUUCUUUUGAGGAGUAAAACUGUCAAAAUCAUCUUGUUCAGGUCUUCCUUGCACACUGACCAGCUUCACCUUCACAGUCUUCUCCCAGAUACGUGGACCUCUGCUGAGUUAGCUUCUUCUAUGUUUGGAAUCAAAGCUAACAGUAAAGUUAUGUUUACUAAGCAUGAGGUAUUCAUGUGCACUAUUCAGUGUAAUUCUCCCACUAACCCUAAAGGAUAGAGGAGUAGUUUUCACUGGCUGCUCAGUAGAAGUAUCUGUGGCUUUUAAAAUUAUUGAUGAUUUGACGCUUACCCAGAUCAAUUGAAUCAAAAUCUAGGGAGUGGCUUAGGCAGGGAUAUUUUUAAAAAUUUCCCAGGUGAUUCUAGGAUUGUUGAGAACUACUGGGAUGGAUACUUCUACCCCUGUUUUAUGGAUGAUAGAUUGAGUCAAUUGCCUAAGAUCUAAGGUUACAUAGUUCCAACUAAAUGUCAGAGCCAGCAUGCAGACAAAGGUCUGUCUAAUGCUAAAGUGCAGGAACGUCCUUACCUGCUAAGCUAAAGCCAGUUCUUCAGAAUGUAAUUGCCAUGAGGGCGAAACUGUGCCUAUCUAAUUUCGUCCUGCAUUUCCAGUGUUCAACACAGUGUUGGGCAUGUGAUGGGCAUCUACUAACUAUUGUUGAAUGAAUGAAUGAAUGAAUGAAUGAAUGAAAUAAGGAAUUCCACAAUGAUUUUUCCUUGACAACGUCCACAGGAUAAGAAUACACAGCAUCUUCUAUAAGUUGAUCCUUUUGUCCCAUCCAAGUGCUAUCUGCUCAGUUCCCCAAGCAUUUGUCUAAAGUGUCCCCUAACCAAGGGGGCUCAGUCAGCUCUCCAGCUCCACCUGCUGGUGCUCCAAACACGGUUGCGCUUUCCAACUUCCUGUUGGAGGGAAUAUGGAAAAUCUACAAUGAGGAACCCUGUGAAAUCAGUCAUUUGAAAAGAGAUUUCGACUUUCCUUCAUGGGAUGAGAGCUAGGAAUGGUGGUCAGCCCCUGCCUUUUAUUAUCUGCACCCCAACCCUGAAAUGAAGGUUUUUGUAGGCUGCCCCAACUACUGUGAAGACAGGAAGGGAAAGGAAGCAGGUGGCUAAGGCUAGUCCCAGGCUCUGACUCCAGCUUGUCAUUAUUACCUUUUUAUUUUUUAACUUUUUGUUAAAAUAUAUAAUAUACCUAGAGAAGAGGGCACAUACUUUGCCAUUGCUUUUUCCUAUUUAAACAGGCAGGGCUCAAGCCCCAUGGGCGCCCCUUAAUGAGAUGAGUGAUUGAUUGUCACCAUGUUAAGCACAGCCUGAGAGAGCUGGGGUGCAGUGAGUGUUGCCUGUAAGUGCAUGGUCAUAGGGAGCCCUCUGUGCCUCAGCUGCUGCUGGCCCAUGAGUGGCUCUCCCUCAGGCUGCUUUCCUAAGAGAGUAGCCUGGGAAUCCUCGUGACAGGGAGCUUUCAGCUCAGUCUGCUGAGCGCCCUCAUUUUUUAUCUCUAACCAUCAUAGAAGUUGCUAGCUGGGGCCAUAGCCAUGGCUGUGAGUGAGCAGCAGCCUGCUCAAUGGUUCACAUAUUCCAGAGGUACCUGCCAGUUUUCUCACAUCCUCAUCCUUAGUGAGUUUAUCAGCAAAAGCCCAGGGUCAAGCACUGGCUGAGAGUAUGACUGAACAGUUCCAGUUUCCAACCCAGUUCAGAUUGGUCUCAUUCACUGCUGUGUGGGUCCAACUCGGUGAAAGUUAUUUAAAACAUUUUGAAUUCCUAGAAGGCCUUCAAAGUUUUCUCAAAAAUUGUAUUUUUUUUUCUUUUCCUGGAGGGCGUAUUCCAAUUCUCUGAAUACUAAUGGGGGGGGGGGCUUCGCGUUUUGCAGAUCAAAUAUGAUUUAAAAUAAAAAACGUUUUAGAGUGGAAAUAAUUUUAGAAUUAGCUAAACCUGGGUUAAAGCUCCCUCCUCCAUUCUUUUUGAAACUCAAUAAAUGGGGAUGAUACCACAUGCUUUUUAGGCUGUGGGAUUACAGACAUAGAACAUAAAUAUUCAUCCCCUUUCCCUCUGCACUGUAACUCCAUGAGAGCAUGUUCUAUGUCACCAGAACUUGGCAGAGUGUUUAGUGCUCAGUGAAAUUGAAUGCACUGGGCAGGCCAUGAGCUGCGGAAAAAAUAAAUAGAUAAGGGAUUUUCAUUAGCUAUAUUUACCAAAAAAUGGAAUUUUGCUUUUAGCCUGCAUUUUGAUCCUUGUUCCACCCACUUCAUUUGUGCUGGCCUUACUCUGUCUUUGUUCUCAGAGUUUAGAUAGAAAAGCCUUCCGAAGUGUUUCAGUACUUGGUGGUUUAAUGAGUGAUCUGGAAAAGGGCCUGCCUCAACCCGGCUUUGUCGUUUUCUCUUCUAGCUCUAUUUCAUUGGGGUGUUCUGAUGGGGUGGCAAGUGAGACAAGAGGAGGGGGGACCCUGACUCAAACGUGCUGGAGUGAGGAGCUUUAGUUUCUUCACUUUAAUAUAAUAAACCCCCUCAGGGUUUGAGCUAGCAUCAUCAUUUUUCCUUAGUCUGCUCUGUGAAGGCUGCCACCCCUAUGUAGGGAGAAGGAUGCCUCCUUUACUCUAAAUAAUUGGUUCAAAGGCAUUCAUCAGGGAUUCUUCCAAAUUUGCUGGGCUUAGAGUUUCUCCCCUAGGCUUGGAACUCAAGAGCCCUAGAGCUCAUAAGGACGGAACAUAAGAGAAUCUGGUCUUGAAGAGGGAACUCCAGUAAGUGCUCUGUAUUUCUCUCCAUACUGGGAUAGGCUAUACACAUCACCUCAUGUGCUUCGAAGUCCUUCCUUAGCAAGUAGAGGUGGAAGUGGUCACAGCUCUGCCACUUUUGUUGUCGUGGAGGGUAUGGAGCUAGAGGAGAAGCAGGGGAGUUGACCAAGAGGAUUGACCACUGUCAUGCCAGUAGCUUGUGCUCCAUGCCCAUGCAGGCCAGGGUUGUUGUUGGUACUGUGACUGUGGUCAUUCUUUGUUAAGUCCUGCAGGCAUGGUUGGCACAAGUCUCUGUGAAAAGGACGCUCGCUUUCCAGACUGCGGGGCUACUCAGUCUGCUGUGUCUUUGGCUGGAUAUUCCCAAAGAACUAGAACUAUGUUACUUUUUUCUAGAACCUAAGGACACACAUAUUUCACCUCUUGCCCUUCUCUCCUGCUUUUUCCAGUUCUUCCCCAAACCAGAAGUUCCCUGUAGGAGACAUGGAUGUGUACCUCCCAGAUACCCCUCAAGGGAGGACUUGUUGCCCCAGCAUGGGGGGUGCUGUCAGCAGAUGGCCUCCAGCUUAGCCCCUUCAGGGACUGCCUGAGCUGCAGAGUCUCCUCACCUGAGAUCACACCGUUCCCAGGGCAGCCCACGUCUAAGUAAGGCAGGGGUGUAGAAGCCCAGCCAUUUGAGUCCCAAGCAGACCAGUCUGACAAGCAGUGCUCAUUUCAGAGCUCCCCACUGGUUGGAGCAAGGCUUCAUUGGACCUGCCUUGAAGUUCAACUUCUUCAACUUCCAAAUCCUGCUUCCUCCCUUUCCUCUCACGGGUGCUGAGCCCCAGUAAACAUCUUAUAACCCAAACUCCAUCUAAAUGACAGCUUCAAAGAACCCUACCUGUGACAGGCCCUAGCCUACCUGAUAGCUUGGUAGAGUUUUAUGCUCAGAACUCCAAACUUUACCCUUGAUAUAUGAACAGUGAGUUUUAGAUUUGAGAAAAUGCCUUUCUCCUUCAACAAAUCUUGGCUUUCAAAAAUGUUGUCGUCUAUGGAUAGAAAAAAACAGAUUGAAUUUGAAACUCAAAGUAAAGGAAUAACUCCUUUGUUUUAGACUGUGUGUACCCUUUUCUUGAAGCAAUGAAUACCACUGAUUCCAUGGGCAGGUUUUUGGAAAAUUUCUAAAGGUUGCAUUGUAUGCAACCCAUUUUCCUUCCAACUUAAUCUUAGUGAAAGAUACUGCCCUGGUUGUCAUCCAUGAUUCCUACUUCUCCCAUCCCCUGCCACCUCUAUCAAUCACCAAGUCCAGAUAACUCUUUCUCCUGAACAUCUCUUGGGUCAACACACUCCUUUCCAUAUCCAUUGCUACCAUCAUCUGUUGCCCAGACUUCUGUAAGUAGCCUCCUGACAAGGGUAUCAUCUCUCUCGCCACCAGCUGUCCUUCCAACACCUGUGUGUCAAGUGGGCAGUUGAAUAUAGGAGUGCAUAGCUCAGAGGUGCAGCCUGGUAGAGGAAGAGGAGCCAACAGGUGAGUUUCAGAAAGAGGGUCACUGAGGCAAGAGGAAAAAUCCAAAGGAAUGUGGUAUUCCCAGAGCAGAAGAUGGGCAGUUUUCACUGAGGACUGGUUAGAGGUUAAGGUGAAAUACAAAACACAGAGCAGAGAGAUCAUGGGUGAUUUUAAGAGGGAAGUUUCACUGGAGUCCUAUGGGUAGAAAUAAAGCUGGAAUAAACCAUGAGAAGGAAAAAAGCAGAGGGUUUUUGACUGUGUGUGAAAGAGAAAUUGAGGAGCUGGACGGGAAUAUUGGAUGAGGGAACUGGGGUUCUGUUUGUCUGUUUUUACCAUGGGACAUUCUUUAGCAUGUUUGUACAUUGAUGGGGAUGAUCCAAAAACAAGCACGAAUUGAAAAUGCAGCAAAGAGAAGGGAACCCUUGAGAAGGUGCUGGGGUUAGGGUUCCAGAGCUCCAGAGGGUAGAUGGGCUUUUGUUGGAGAAGCUCUGCUUCCUCCAUUGAAACAAGAGAAAUGGAGAAGAUGGAUAUAGAUUCACAGAUUAGGUGGGGAAGAGGAUACAUAAAUUCUUAUCUGAUGGUUUCUAUUUUUUAGUCAUAAAGAAUAUUUUAAAAAUCAUGUUUAAUUCAUAUUUGAGGAAGGUUUGAGAAGAGAAACUGUAGACGAUAUGAAAUAAUCUUCAUGAUAUUGGAAAAGCUAAUUUACCAGGCAAACAUAAGAGGAGUGUUGAGUGUUUUAUUCAGGUUUUUGAUCAUGAAUUUAAAGUGAAACUGUUCACCUGUAUUUUGUGUGUAUGUUUAUCCUCCAGUAAUAUUCUAGUUUUAAAAUGCAAGUGUGGAUAAACUGGACUCCAUCAGGCAUGUUUUUUUCCAAGCAAGUGUUGACAGACGAGAGAGGUAUAAAGGAGGAGAGGAAAUUUUCAAGGAGGUGAUUAUAAAUUAUAGACUAUGUGACCUAAAUGAAUAAGAAAGAAAAUAAGAAGAGGGGACUGACUGGUGGGUAAUGAGAACAUGGCUGAUGGUUUGGGGAUGUCAGUGAGGUUAAAAAAUCAUGAGGAGGUGUGAGUUAGAGAUCGGGUUUUCAGAAGCAGAUUUGGAGAUGGUGCUGAUUGCAGUAAUAACCAGGUAGUGUGUGGUAGUAAGACUAGAUCGGCUGUAGUAAAGUGGAGAAAAAGCAACUGGAGAUGAGAAGGUCAAGGCGCUGAAAAUCCAGAGUUUGGAUGUCCUCUCAUCUUGCACACAUCUCAACGUUUUGUAGUUGUUGGUCUAUCUUUCCAACAAGUAUGUUACUUUCUUUUUUUUUUUUUUUUAAGUAUGUUACUUUCUGAAGGAAGGGACGAUGUUUGUCUUGUCAGUACUUCCUCGCUAAUGCCCAGCAUGGUACCUGACCCAUAAAAUACUCAAUAAAUAUUUACUGAAUGAACAAAAAAGUCUAUUAUUUUAAAAAAUUCUAAAAGUUAUUCCUGAAUUGAGAGGUGCAUCCUGGGACACCACUGUCUCGACUCCUCAUGGACCACUUUUUGUGAGCGGCCUUGUGGGUAAUGACAUUUACUGCUGCUGUGGAUGCUGUGAGAAGCACUCCUGUUUAAUUCUCCAUGGUAUUUAGUAUAGGGGCUUGCUGAGGAAGUAAUUCACUCCCUUACACAUUAUCCCCUCCAUUAAGACCCACAAGGGAAAUUUUUUCUAAGAUUUCAUUGCUAGGAAGACCUGUGACUCUCCUGAGUGAACAGACAGUUUGUGAGUCUCAUAAGCAAAUAUGUUUUCCUUUUUGCUCUGCCCAUUACAGCCAGAUGUGUGGCUGAGGCUCGACUUUAGCAAGUACGCAGAAAAAUAUGGUAUCUGUUUGUUAUGAAUUAUUUUACCCUUUGCUUUAUCUGAUUAUCUUUUCCUGAUUUCCUCAUCUUGGUGAUUUCUUCUCAUGUUUUUGUUUCUAUUCUGGAAUCUUUCUUGAAUAUUUAAUGCUAGAGUGUUUUCCCAAGGUUCAGCCGGAUGAAGUUUUCUCUUGACCACUUCAACUGGUGCAAACUUCUGGUGAUAUGUAGAAAGCAAGCCUGUUAUAAACUAUAAUAGUGAAGAUUCAGAUUAGGUCCAUUUAUAAACAAUACGUGUUUCUGAGGCUUUAUUGAGCUAAUUUGAGUUAAGCUUAGAAUUUCUACAAUGUAUAAUAUUCAACGUGUCAUCUGUCUUGGAUAAUACCAGGUACAAAAUUGUUUACGAAAAAGUAAACACAUUUCUGAAGAUUUAUCAGUUAAAUCAAAGGCUCCUAUCUGAGCCUUUAUUAAUUUAAUUAAGGAAUUUUAUGAAUUUUUGACAUAUAUUUGCUUAAUCUAAUAAUUCAAGAAGUGUAAAAAGAACUAAAUCACGUCUAAAGACUCUGGGAGCCUUAUAAGAACAGCAAAUGUGGUAGUAAAGCAGAGAUCAAGAUGACACAUAUGGAUAGAGGCCACUGCGGAAUGAGAAGAAUAAAUGGAAAUGAGAAGACGAGUGAAACUCUAUAGAACUAACCACAUGGGAACACUGAACACAAAGAUCUACACACUGUAAAGGGAAUGGAAGGGAAAAACAGGAAACAGGUUACAGCUGUGAGCUUUGCAGUACACCAUAGUGGAGAGUCAUUAAAUACUGUCAUUGUGGGAAACUGUAUUCCAGAACAUUCAUUGACACCUAUUGUAUUUUAUAAGAGCUGCUUUCCUCAGAUGGAGAUGCGAAGCUGGCAGGACAGAGAAUGAGCGCAGCUCAGCAAGGGUGCUCGCACAGUGGGGCAGAGACCAGACCACUGCAUGUAUUUGUUGGGGACAACUGAAUGCCUCUUUCUCUAAAGUUUGAUCACUAGUCUCAUUAAGUGUUGUGUAUGAGAAGAAUGAGAUUGUUAAUUGUGUUUGCCGUGAAAUAUAUGAGUAAGCAAAUAAAACACAUUAAAAAUGUAUCGACAACUGUAAAAAUAUUCCAGAAUGAUAUAACUUACGUUGGUACAGCUAGUUUUACAUAUUUUUGUAAACUACCUAAAAUCCUUUUUUGGGAGAAGCUGGGUUAUUCAUUAAAGAAUGUAAAACAGGACUACAUAAAGUCAUAUUGCCACUACUGAUUUUUAAAAAAUGACUCUAGGGAUGGAAUGUUUAUUAUUAGUGUUAUUAAAACUUCUAGUUAUCAUACACUGUGAGCUUCUAAUAUGCUAAGCAAUAUGCUAAACAAUUUUUUUUUUUUUUUUGCGGUACGCGGGCCUCUCCCUGCUGUGGCCU